Molecule: ribosomal RNA, 1552 nt
Filed under: Escherichia coli
Lineage: Bacteria; Pseudomonadati; Pseudomonadota; Gammaproteobacteria; Enterobacterales; Enterobacteriaceae
Description: bacterial SSU rRNA
Rfam family: Bacterial small subunit ribosomal RNA
Source: RNAcentral
AAAUUGAAGAGUUUGAUCAUGGCUCAGAUUGAACGCUGGCGGCAGGCCUAACACAUGCAAGUCGAACGGUAACAGGAAGCAGCUUGCUGCUUUGCUGACGAGUGGCGGACGGGUGAGUAAUGUCUGGGAAACUGCCUGAUGGAGGGGGAUAACUACUGGAAACGGUAGCUAAUACCGCAUAACGUCGCAAGACCAAAGAGGGGGACCUUCGGGCCUCUUGCCAUCGGAUGUGCCCAGAUGGGAUUAGCUAGUAGGUGGGGUAACGGCUCACCUAGGCGACGAUCCCUAGCUGGUCUGAGAGGAUGACCAGCCACACUGGAACUGAGACACGGUCCAGACUCCUACGGGAGGCAGCAGUGGGGAAUAUUGCACAAUGGGCGCAAGCCUGAUGCAGCCAUGCCGCGUGUAUGAAGAAGGCCUUCGGGUUGUAAAGUACUUUCAGCGGGGAGGAAGGGAGUAAAGUUAAUACCUUUGCUCAUUGACGUUACCCGCAGAAGAAGCACCGGCUAACUCCGUGCCAGCAGCCGCGGUAAUACGGAGGGUGCAAGCGUUAAUCGGAAUUACUGGGCGUAAAGCGCACGCAGGCGGUUUGUUAAGUCGGAUGUGAAAUCCCCGGGCUCAACCUGGGAACUGCAUCUGAUACUGGCAAGCUUGAGUCUCGUAGAGGGGGGUAGAAUUCCAGGUGUAGCGGUGAAAUGCGUAGAGAUCUGGAGGAAUACCGGUGGCGAAGGCGGCCCCCUGGACGAAGACUGACGCUCAGGUGCGAAAGCGUGGGGAGCAAACAGGAUUAGAUACCCUGGUAGUCCACGCCGUAAACGAUGUCGACUUGGAGGUUGUGCCCUUGAGGCGUGGCUUCCGGAGCUAACGCGUUAAGUCGACCGCCUGGGGAGUACGGCCGCAAGGUUAAAACUCAAAUGAAUUGACGGGGGCCCGCACAAGCGGUGGAGCAUGUGGUUUAAUUCGAUGCAACGCGAAGAACCUUACCUGGUCUUGACAUCCACGGAAGUUUUCAGAGAUGAGAAUGUGCCUUCGGGAACCGUGAGACAGGUGCUGCAUGGCUGUCGUCAGCUCGUGUUGUGAAAUGUUGGGUUAAGUCCCGCAACGAGCGCAACCCUUAUCCUUUGUUGCCAGCGGUUUGGCCGGGAACUCAAAGGAGACUGCCAGUGAUAAACUGGAGGAAGGUGGGGAUGACGUCAAGUCAUCAUGGCCCUUACGACCAGGGCUACACACGUGCUACAAUGGCGCAUACAAAGAGAAGCGACCUCGCGAGAGCAAGCGGACCUCAUAAAGUGCGUCGUAGUCCGGAUUGGAGUCUGCAACUCGACUCCAUGAAGUCGGAAUCGCUAGUAAUCGUGGAUCAGAAUGCCACGGUGAAUACGUUCCCGGGCCUUGUACACACCGCCCGUCACACCAUGGGAGUGGGUUGCAAAAGAAGUAGGUAGCUUAACCUUCGGGAGGGCGCUUACCACUUUGUGAUUCAUGACUGGGGUGAAGUCGUAACAAGGUAACCGUAGGGGAACCUGCGGUUGGAUCACCUCCUUACCUUAAAGAA